Molecule: long non-coding RNA, 746 nt
Filed under: Monodelphis domestica (gray short-tailed opossum)
Lineage: Eukaryota; Metazoa; Chordata; Mammalia; Didelphimorphia; Didelphidae
Description: lncRNA (ENSMODG00000032363.2)
Source: RNAcentral
CUUUCUUAAGUGGAAAGAAAACUUGCACUAAAUUAAUUCCACAUCCGUAUUAGCAAUAUUCAAUUAAUGGCCAAAUUCUUUCCAUCCAAAUGACUGCUACUCUAGUUCAAACCUUCAUCAUCCCUUGCUUGGACAAAUAUAACAAUAAUAACUCAUUUAUAAAUUAAUAUUUGCAAUAUACUUUCCACACAACAGUCUAACCUGUAUUGUGAAUAUUACCUCCAUUUUAUAGAUAAGGAUACUGAGAUUUAGGGAAGUUCGAUGACUUGCCCAGUUAUACAAGAAGUGUCAGAACUAGGAUUUGAACCUUGGUAUUUUCUGACUUCGAGUCCAGUGUUAUUUUUAUAAAGCCUUGAAAUAGCCUCUAAAUUUGUCUCCUUGCUUCUAGUCUCUCCCCUCUCUAAUUAAGCAUGCUAAAAUAUUAAUGGAAUUCUAGACUUGAAAUUGAGAGUGACAUUAAAAUUCACCUCAUUCAACUCUAUCAUUUUGCAGAUUGAGAUUCUGACACAAGCAAGUUAAGGAAUUUGUUCAGAUCACAAAGGACUGAGAUGGGACUUGAACGCAAGUGUUCAGAAGAUAGUCCGGGAGCCCUGCACCUCUAUCACCUACAAUGUGGAAGGGAUACCUGUCUUCACAUCUCUGAAAGCAAACUGGGAAUCUAGCUGCGAGGGGAUGUUACAGAAAGACCUAGAAGAACUGAUGCAGACUGAAAUAAAGCAAGCCUUGUAGGAUAUAAGUAGAAUACA